Cyanoderma ruficeps (rufous-capped babbler) is the source of this 1876-nucleotide long non-coding RNA. The record is from Ensembl. NCBI's taxonomy places the organism in Eukaryota, Metazoa, Chordata, Aves, Passeriformes, Timaliidae.
AUGAAGCUCUCCAGAAGCCUGCAGCACGCACACUGGUCCCUCAGGAAUGUCCUGCCAGUCCAGCUGUCACCUCUCCGUGCAGCCACAGAUUCCCCGGGGGUGUUUGUCUGUCGUCUCAGCGUUCCCCCUGAGGUCAGAGUGACCUGCGGGUGCCUGGGCAAGCGCAGCACAGGCCGAACAUCCUCCCAGCAGAGCGAGCAUCAUCCUCCCGGCAGAGCAUCUUCCUCCUGGCAGAACGUCCUUCUCCCGGCAGAGCAUCGUUCUCCCGGCAGAACAUCCUCCGGGCAGAGCAUCCUUCUCCCGGCAGAACAUCGUUCUCCCGGCAGAACAUCGUUCUCCCGGCAGAACGUCCCUCUCCCGGCAGAGCCCCCUCCUGCCGCUCCGGCUCCCGCUCCCGGCUCUCUCCGGCAGCGCUGCCAGCCCGGCAGCUCCCCAGGCCGCGCUCCCCGUGCCCGGCCCUGCCCUCCCCUCAGCCCGGCGGACAGCCCAGGAAUUCCUCCUUCCCCUUCCCCGGCAGCAAUGUGCUCCCGGAAUUGCCGCUCCGACUCUUUGUCUUUCCAGUCUGAAUUUGCAGCGCUGCUCAGGUAACCGAGGGAAGCAGGCUGGAGUUCAAAGUGCAUAUUUACUGAUGCUAUCGGCACGGCUUCGGCGUGACUCAAAAUUUACUCAAGACAGGAAAUUCAAGGAAACUGCCGGGAGAAGCUGCAGUGAGCAGUGGCACCGAGGAGUCACUAGUGAAACGGCUCUCACAAAGGGACAGAGAAACUGAAAGAUUUCCCUUCCACUAAUAGCAUCGGUUGGCAUAUUUUAUUACCUUUUUACACAAUAAUCCAAGUCCUUCAUUAAAAUAAAUGCUGCUUUGGGUCAUGCAGCUGAUUCUCAGAGGAGCAAGAUGGCUUUUCCCUGAGCUGGCGUGGUAGACUUGAUAUCAUUGUGCUGCAUUUGCCAUGUGUCUGCCUCGUGGGUUGAGUGUUUGCUUUCCUGGGAAUAUCAAGACUCAAGAUUCGUUUUUUCAGUGCUCUCAAAUCCUAGAGGGCACCACAGAACAGCUCUGCAAACCAGGCUCGCUGUGCAACAUGGAUUUUACAGGUGUGACACUUCCUGCCUCCCUUUUCUCUUUCCUUUCUCUUCGCAUUCAUUUCGUAUCAAAAUUUAAAAGAAUCUUAAAGUACUGAAUAAAGAGUUGUCAGUGGAUGAACACAGAAGGGAAAAAAACCCCUAUCAUACAAGAAGGAAAGGUAUCAUACAAGAAGGAAAGGUAUCAUGCUUACAAAUCUGAAGCUGUUGCUUUGACAUUGUAUCUUAAGUUGCCCCAAAAGUGAAGCCAGGCCAGCGCCUCCAUCUGCAGCCACUUGCAUAUUCCCACAGGGGUACAAUAUGCAGCUGAUUUCCCGAUUAAGCUUUCCCAGCAAAGAAGUUUUAUAAUUUAAACAGACUCAAAAGUUUGAGAAAGGAAUACAUAUUCAUGAAGGACUAAUAACACUCUGUCUAGAACACAGCUUUGAGCUGAGAGCAGCUCUGACUGGCUCAUGUCUCACCCACCAUACUUAGCGAAAAUGGGAACGAGGAAGAAAUGGCUGAAACCAGCAGAUUGUGUUUUGCCAAGACAAUAAAUAAUAACCAUAUUCUGACUCAAGUGCCAAAUGUAUAGCACUUAAUUAGAGGUCAGUAGAGCAUAUUUCUGCUCAGCUGUUCCAUUUACAGCAAUUAACAUGUUCGUGUCACUUAAACUGGGUUGCAGAGCAGAUUUUUGGUUGAGUGAAAGCAGAAUCAAGGAAGGGCUGUUCCACCUCUGGAGCAGCACCCUUGGCACCCGCCCGCUGGCAAAGGCGUGGGACAGAGAGGUCUCAGCACCGCCCUGCCCCGUCCCUCUGAG